Molecule: long non-coding RNA, 739 nt
Organism: Belonocnema kinseyi
Lineage: Eukaryota; Metazoa; Arthropoda; Insecta; Hymenoptera; Cynipidae
Exons: 2
Source: RefSeq, a predicted model, not a curated record
UAUUAUUUUCGCGCAUGCGCGAAAAAAAUUGAUCUUCCAAUCAAUUUUCGGCCCUGUUGCUCGCAAUUGUAUAGGAAAUGCAGUGUUUUUAUUAAAAAAUAAAGUUUUGAAAGUGAAUGCGAAGUUUGUGAAUAAAAAUGGAAGGAGAUAAUACGAUGGCAAUGAUUGUGGAAAAAAAAGUUGGAGUGCAUAAGAGCUGCUGCAGCGGAUUUUGCAAAAGUAGUGGUCGCAGUAGAGCUGCGUACGUCGAAUUGUGCAAUUUUUAUUCUAUUUCUUUCCCUAAACCAUGCCUACAAUUUAGAAAAGCAGAAAUUAAUAAUGCGAGUAUCAAAUUCCACUUAAAACGCGUGAAAAGUGCAGAAAAUGCAAUAAAUGGGUGAAGUUGUGUGGACGUAAAGAUUCCAAGUUUAAAUCAAUCAGGAACGUUACAAAAAAUACAUAUAUUUGUUCUUUACACUUCUUUGGAGAAUCUGGGCCUACAGAAGAGCAUCCAGGCCCGAUGGAAUGUCAUCCGAAAACUAUAAAAAGACAGUAAAAAAAGGCUAGAAGGAGCUUACAGCAAAAGUACUAACAUUUCUCGUUGAAGACUGAGGAAUUUACUUCAAGUACAGGGAGCAGUUGUUUCUCUGGAGAAAGAAGAGUAUGCUGAGCAUGGACAUGGAAUCUCUCUUUAUCUCAUUUUUGUCUCCUGUACUAUUUCUGAUGUAAAGGAAUGGAGGAAUAAAACAAUCUUUCGUAA